Molecule: ribosomal RNA, 501 nt
Filed under: uncultured eukaryote
Lineage: Eukaryota
Description: SSU rRNA
Rfam family: Eukaryotic small subunit ribosomal RNA
Source: RNAcentral
GAUUAAGCCAUGCAAGUCUAAGUAUAAGUCAUAUACGGCGAAACUGCGAACGGCUCAAUUAAAACAGUUAUAAUUUAUUUGAUAAUGCUUCUAUAUGGAUAACCAUUUUGGGAAACUAUGGCUAAUACAUGCUUAAAGACCUUCGGGGUUGUAUUUAUUAGUUUUGACCAAUCUUAGAUUGUGAGGAGUCAUAAUAACUGAUCGAAGCGCACUUGUGUGCGCUAAAUCUUUCAAGUAUCUGCCCUAUCAGAUUGUUGGUAGUGUAUUGGACUACCAAGUCGAUCACGGGUAACGGAGAAUUAGGGUUCGAUUCCGGAGAGGGAGCCUGAGAAACGGCUACCACAGCUACGGUAGGCAGCAGGUGCGUAAAUUACCCAAUCCAAAAUCUGGAAGGUAGUUACAGGAAAUUUGUUGCAUGGGGUUCUACCCCAGACACAAACGAACACAUGUAAGUAUUGUGUGUUUAAUUGGAGGGCAAGUUUUGGUGCCAGCAGCCGCGGU